CACGUAGGCGGCCUCGUAAGUGUCGGAUGAAAUCCCACGGCUUACCCGUGGAACGGUCCGGCAUACUGCGAGGCUCGAGGAUGGUAGAGGAGAGCGGAACUCUUGGUGGAGCGGUGAAAUGCGUAGAUAUCAAGAGGAACACCGGUGGCGAGGGCGGCUCUCUGGUCCAUGUCUGACGCUGAGGUGCGAAAGCCAGGGGAGCAACG
This 206-nucleotide ribosomal RNA is filed under the name uncultured bacterium. RNAcentral's name for it is "partial 16S ribosomal RNA". It matches the Rfam family "Bacterial small subunit ribosomal RNA", at positions 568 to 773 of the family's 1533-position model. The record is from RNAcentral.